RNAcentral lists this ribosomal RNA (497 nucleotides) under uncultured bacterium. RNAcentral describes it as "partial 16S ribosomal RNA". It matches the Rfam family "Bacterial small subunit ribosomal RNA", at positions 28 to 507 of the family's 1533-position model. The record is from RNAcentral.
GAUGAACGCUGGCGGCGUGCCUAAUACAUGCAAGUCGAGCGAACGGACGAGAAGCUUGCUUCUCUGAUGUUAGCGGCGGACGGGUGAGUAACACGUGGAUAACCUACCUAUAAGACUGGGAUAACUUCGGGAAACCGGAGCUAAUACCGGAUAAUAUUUUGAACCGCAUGGUUCAAAAGUGAAAGACGGUCUUGCUGUCACUUAUAGAUGGAUCCGCGCUGCAUUAGCUAGUUGGUAAGGUAACGGCUUACCAAGGCAACAAUGCAUAGCCGACCUGAGAGGGUGAUCGGCCACACUGGAACUGAGACACGGUCCAGACUCCUACGGGAGGCAGCAGUAGGGAAUCUUCCGCAAAGGGCGAAAGCCUGACGGAGCAACGCCGCGUGAGUGAUGAAGGUCUUCGGAUCGUAAAACUCUGUUAUUAGGGAAGAACAUAUGUGUAAGUAACUGUGCACAUCUUGACGGUACCUAAUCAGAAAGCCACGGCUAACUACGUG